RNAcentral lists this ribosomal RNA (229 nucleotides) under uncultured bacterium. Its description in RNAcentral is "partial 16S ribosomal RNA". It matches the Rfam family "Bacterial small subunit ribosomal RNA", at positions 568 to 796 of the family's 1533-position model. The record is from RNAcentral.
UGCGUAGGCGGAAUAAUGAGUCAGUGGUGAAAUCCUGUGGCUCAACCACAGAACUGCCAUUGAUACUGUUAUUCUUGAAUAUAGUUGAGGUAGGCGGAAUGUGUAAUGUAGCGGUGAAAUGCUUAGAUAUUACACAGAACACCGAUUGCGAAGGCAGCUUGCUAAACUAUUAUUGGCGCUGAGGCACGAAAGCGUGGGGAGCGAACAGGAUUAGAUACCCUGGUAGUCC